This 697-nucleotide ribosomal RNA is filed under the name Streptomyces sp. YIM 69357. Its description in RNAcentral is "bacterial SSU rRNA". It matches the Rfam family "Bacterial small subunit ribosomal RNA", at positions 63 to 777 of the family's 1533-position model. Lineage: Bacteria; Bacillati; Actinomycetota; Actinomycetes; Kitasatosporales; Streptomycetaceae. The record is from RNAcentral.
CGAACGAUGAAGCCCUUCGGGGUGGAUUAGUGGCGAACGGGUGAGUAACACGUGGGCAAUCUGCCCUUCACUCUGGGACAAGCCCUGGAUACGGGGUCUAAUACCGGAUAACACUCUGUCCCGCAUGGGACGGGGUUAAAAGCUCCGGCGGUGAAGGAUGAGCCCGCGGCCUAUCAGCUUGUUGGUGGGGUAAUGGCCUACCAAGGCGACGACGGGUAGCCGGCCUGAGAGGGCGACCGGCCACACUGGGACUGAGACACGGCCCAGACUCCUACGUGAGGCAGCAGUGGGGAAUAUUGCACAAUGGGCGAAAGCCUGAUGCAGCGACGUAGCGUGAGGGAUGACGGCCUUGCGCUUGUAAACCUCUUUCAGCAGGGAAGAAGCGAAAGUGACGGUACCUGCAGAAGAAGCGCCGGCUAACUACGUGCCAGCAGCCGCGGUAAUACGUAGGGCGCAAGCGUUGUCCGGAAUUAUUGGGCGUAAAGAGCUCGUAGGCGGCUUGUCACGUCGGAUGUGAAAGCCCGGGGCUUAACGUAGGGUCUGCAUUCGAUACGGGCUAGCUAGAGUGUGGUAGGGGAGAUCGGAAUUCCUGGUGUAGCGGUGAAAUGCGCAGAUAUCAGGAGGAACACCGGUGGCGAAGGCGGAUCUCUGGGCCAUUACUGACGCUGAGGAGCGAAAGCGUGGGGAGCGAACAGGA